RNAcentral lists this ribosomal RNA (564 nucleotides) under uncultured eukaryote. RNAcentral describes it as "partial 18S ribosomal RNA". The record is from RNAcentral.
ACCAGACUUGCCCUCCAAUAGAUCCUCGUUAAAGGAUUUAAAUUGUACCCAUUCCGAUGACAGACCUCGAAGAGGACUGUCUCGUUAUUUUUCGUCACUACCUCUCCGUUCUGGAAGUGGGUAAUUUGCGCGCCUGCUGCCUUCCUUGGAUGUGGUAGCCGUUUCUCAGGCUCCCUCUCCGGAGUCGAACCCUUAUUCUCCGUUACCCGUUACUACCAUGGUAGGCGUAUAACCUACCAUCGAAAGUUGAUAAGGCAGACACUUGAAAGAUACAUCGCCAGUACUAGGACUGUGCGAUUGGCAAAGUUAUUCAGAUUCACCAAAUUACGGGCCGAAACCCGAUUGGUUUUUAUUCUAAUAAAUGCGCUCGUUCCUUGCGGGCGGAGCUUUUUUGCAUGUAUUAGCUCUAGAAUUGCCACAGUUAUCCAAGUAGGAUAACUAUAUUCUAGUAAACGGUGGCUGUUGUAAUGAGCUAUUCGCGGCUUCACCGUAUUAAGGCAUGUGCUUAGACAUGCAUGGCUUAAUCCUUGAGACAAGCAUAUGACUACUGGCAGGAUCAACCAG